GUCCAAGCAGUGAGUGUGAGAAGUAGGCAAAUCCGCUUCUCGCGAAGCAUGAGCUGUGAUGGGGAAGGAAAUUAAGUACGGAAGUUCCUGAUUUCACGCUGUCAAGAAAAGCCUCUAGGAAGAGUAGUACUGCCCGUACCGCAAACCGACACAGGUAGAUGAGGAGAGAAUCCUAAGGUGAGCGAGAGAACUCUCGUUAAGGAACUCGGCAAAAUGACCCCGUAACUUCGGGAGAAGGGGUGCUCUAUUAGGGUGCAAGCCCGAGAGAGCCGCAGUGAAUAGGCCCAGGCGACUGUUUAGCAAAAACACAGGUCUCUGCAAAACCGUAAGGUGACGUAUAGGGGCUGACGCCUGCCCGGUGCUGGAAG
RNAcentral lists this ribosomal RNA (368 nucleotides) under Listeria monocytogenes. RNAcentral's name for it is "partial 23S ribosomal RNA". It matches the Rfam family "Bacterial large subunit ribosomal RNA", at positions 1510 to 1875 of the family's 2925-position model. The record is from RNAcentral. Lineage: Bacteria; Bacillati; Bacillota; Bacilli; Caryophanales; Listeriaceae.